This 88-nucleotide transfer RNA is filed under the name Candidatus Bathyarchaeota archaeon. RNAcentral's name for it is "tRNA-Leu". It matches the Rfam family "tRNA". Rfam says of the family: Transfer RNA (tRNA) molecules are approximately 80 nucleotides in length. Their secondary structure includes four short double-helical elements and three loops (D, anti-codon, and T loops). Further hydrogen bonds mediate the characteristic L-shaped molecular structure. tRNAs have two regions of fundamental functional importance: the anti-codon, which is responsible for specific mRNA codon recognition, and the 3' end, to which the tRNAs corresponding amino acid is attached (by aminoacyl-tRNA synthetases). tRNAs cope with the degeneracy of the genetic code in two manners: having more than one tRNA (with a specific anti-codon) for a particular amino acid; and 'wobble' base-pairing, i.e. permitting non-standard base-pairing at the 3rd anti-codon position. The record is from RNAcentral. RNAcentral also lists the same sequence under 1 other name. Lineage: Archaea; Thermoproteati; Candidatus Bathyarchaeota.
GCGGGGGUCGCCGAGCUAGGUCAAAGGCGCAGGCUUCAGGAGCCUGUCCCGUAGGGGUUCGUGGGUUCGAAUCCCACUCCCCGCACCA